This is a long non-coding RNA of Etheostoma spectabile (orangethroat darter), 329 nucleotides long. RefSeq lists it as uncharacterized. Lineage: Eukaryota; Metazoa; Chordata; Actinopteri; Perciformes; Percidae. The record is from RefSeq and is a predicted model, not a curated record. The transcript has 2 exons.
AAAUAUGCUAGAAGCAGACAUAACCAAACCAAGUGUUGGGAGCCCACAAACACUAGAUUUUGGUUAUGCUGUGACAACUUCAUAUCCGGGAAAAAGAGAGACAACCCUCUAUCACCUGACUACGUUCCUUUAAUCUUCAAUUAUGUUCCAUCCUCGGAGAAGAGAAAAAGAAGAAGGCGGUUAGAUGUAGUCAACAGAAGAACCAACUUCAAAGAAUAGAGAAAGCAGCAAAGCCGUCCGCUGCAGCAGUGGUGGAUCUAACAGACUGUCCUCAAGACAACAGCAAGCGUCCUACUGCAGACCAGGUGAAGGAAUCUAACAUCAACAAA